Molecule: ribosomal RNA, 800 nt
Filed under: uncultured bacterium
Lineage: Bacteria
Description: bacterial SSU rRNA
Rfam family: Bacterial small subunit ribosomal RNA
Source: RNAcentral
AGAGUUUGAUCCUGGCUCAGAACGAACGCUGGCGGCGUGGCUAAGACAUGCAAGUCGAACGAACCGGUCAAUUGGGUAACUGAGAGAUCGGUUAGUGGCGAAAGGGUGAGGAAUAGAUAGGUAACGUACCUUGUACUUCGGGAUAGCGUCGUGUCCGCAAGGAUACUACCGAAAGGGGCAUUAAUACCGAAUGAUGUGGUCUGUCGUAUGGCGGAUUACCAAAGAUUUAUCGGUGCAAGAGCGGCCUAUCUCCUAUCAGUUAGUUGGUGAGGUAACGGCCCACCAAGACUAUGACGGGUAGCGGGACUGAGAGGUUGGCCCGCCACAUCGGAACUGAGAUACUGUCCGGACCUCCACGGAGGGCUGCAGUAACGAAUAUUGGGCAAUGGGCGAAAGCCUGACCCAGCGACGCCGCGUGCGGGAGGAAGUCCCUCGGGAUGUAAACCGCUGUCAGGGAGAAGAAAGUCCGCAAGGAUUGAUCUAUCCCAGAGGAAGCCACGGCUAACUUCGUGCCAGCAGCCGCGGUAAGACGAAGGUGGCGAGCGUUGUUCGGAAUCACUGGGCUUAAAGCGCAUGUAGGCGGAUGAGUAAGCGUUUUGUGAAAUCCCCCGGCUUAACCGGGGAAUUGCUUGGCGAACUGCUCAUCUUGAGGCAAGUAGGGGUGCAUGGAACUCUUGGUGGAGCGGUGGAAUGCGUAGAUAUCAAGAGGAACGCCAGCGGAGAAAUCGGUGCACUGGACUUGUCCUGACGCUCAGAUGCGAAAGCGUGGGGAGCGAACGGGGAUUAGAUACCCCGGUAGU